This 371-nucleotide ribosomal RNA is filed under the name uncultured organism. RNAcentral describes it as "partial 16S ribosomal RNA". It matches the Rfam family "Bacterial small subunit ribosomal RNA", at positions 527 to 896 of the family's 1533-position model. The record is from RNAcentral.
GUAGGUGGCAAGCGUUGUCCGGAAUUAUUGGGCGUAAAGCGCGCGCAGGCGGUUCUUUAAGUCUGAUGUGAAAGCCCACGGCUCAACCGUGGAGGGUCAUUGGAAACUGGAGAACCUGAGUACAGAAGAGGAAAGCGGAAUUCCACGUGUAGCGGUGAAAUGCGUAGAGAUGUGGAGGAACACCAGUGGCGAAGGCGGCUUUCUGGUCUGUAACUGACGCUGAGGCGCGAAAGCGUGGGGGAGCAAACAGGAUUAGAUACCCUGGUAGUCCACGCCGUAAACGAUGAGUGCUAAGUGUUAGGGGGUUUCCGCCCCUUAGUGCUGCAGCUAACGCAUUAAGCACUCCGCCUGGGAGUACGGCCGCAAGGCUG